RNAcentral lists this ribosomal RNA (253 nucleotides) under uncultured bacterium. RNAcentral's name for it is "partial 16S ribosomal RNA". It matches the Rfam family "Bacterial small subunit ribosomal RNA", at positions 524 to 776 of the family's 1533-position model. The record is from RNAcentral.
UACGGAGGGUGCAAGCGUUAAUCGGAAUUACUGGGCGUAAAGCGUGCGCAGGCGGUUUGUUAAGUCCGCUGUGAAAUCCCCGAGCUCAACUUGGGAAUUGCAGUGGAUACUGGCAAGCUGGAGUAUGGUAGAGGAAGGUGGAAUUCCCGGUGUAGCAGUGAAAUGCGUAGAUAUCAUUUGGAACGCCAAUGGUGAAAACAGGUAGCUGGGGAAGUGCUGACGCUGAGACACGAAAGCCAGGGGAGCGAACGGG